RNAcentral lists this ribosomal RNA (119 nucleotides) under Takifugu rubripes (torafugu). Lineage: Eukaryota; Metazoa; Chordata; Actinopteri; Tetraodontiformes; Tetraodontidae. The record is from RNAcentral.
GCUUACGGCCAUACCACCCUGAGAACGCCCGAUCUCGUCUGAUCUCGGAAGCUAAGCAGGGUCGGGCCUGGUUAGUACUUGGAUGGGAGACCUCCUGGGAAUACCAGGUGCUGUAAGCU